UUUGGUGCAGUAGGUAGCACGUCAGUCUCACAAGCUGAAGUCCCGAGUUCGAUCCUCAGAA
RNAcentral lists this transfer RNA (61 nucleotides) under Monodelphis domestica (gray short-tailed opossum). It matches the Rfam family "tRNA", at positions 6 to 65 of the family's 71-position model. Rfam says of the family: Transfer RNA (tRNA) molecules are approximately 80 nucleotides in length. Their secondary structure includes four short double-helical elements and three loops (D, anti-codon, and T loops). Lineage: Eukaryota; Metazoa; Chordata; Mammalia; Didelphimorphia; Didelphidae. The record is from Rfam by way of RNAcentral.